GUAGGGUGCGAGCGUUAAUCGGAAUUACUGGGCGUAAAGCGUGCGCAGGCGGUUUUGUAAGCCAGAUGUGAAAUCCCCGGGCUUAACCUGGGAAUGGCAUUUGGGACUGCAAGGCUGGAGUGUGGCAGAGGAGACUGGAAUUCCUGGUGUAGCAGUGAAAUGCGUAGAUAUCAGGAGGAAUACCGAUGGCGAAGGCAGGUCUCUGGGCUGACACUGACGCUCAUGCACGAAAGCGUGGGGAGCAAACAGGAUUAGAUACCCUGGUAGUCCACGCCCUAAACGAUGUCGACUGGUAGUUGGGGGUUUGACACUCUCAGUAACGAAGCUAACGCGUGAAGUCGACCGCCUGGGGAGUACGGCCGCAAGGUUA
RNAcentral lists this ribosomal RNA (370 nucleotides) under uncultured bacterium. RNAcentral's name for it is "bacterial SSU rRNA". It matches the Rfam family "Bacterial small subunit ribosomal RNA", at positions 527 to 896 of the family's 1533-position model. The record is from RNAcentral.